Molecule: ribosomal RNA, 468 nt
Filed under: uncultured bacterium
Lineage: Bacteria
Description: partial 16S ribosomal RNA
Rfam family: Bacterial small subunit ribosomal RNA
Source: RNAcentral
GACGAACGCUGGCGGCGUGCUUAACACAUGCAAGUCGAACGGAAAGGCCCUGCUUUUGUGGGGUGCUCGAGUGGCGAACGGGUGAGUAACACGUGAGUAACCUGCCCUUGACUUUGGGAUAACUUCAGGAAACUGGGGCUAAUACCGGAUAGGAGCUCCUGCUGCAUGGUGGGGGUUGGAAAGUUUCGGCGGUUGGGGAUGGACUCGCGGCUUAUCAGCUUGUUGGUGGGGUAGUGGCUUACCAAGGCUUUGACGGGUAGCCGGCCUGGGAGGGUGACCGGCCCCAUUGGGACUGAGAUACGGCCCAGACUCCUACGGGAGGCAGCAGUGGGGAAUAUUGCACAAUGGGCGGAAGCCUGAUGCAGCAACGCCGCGUGCGGGAUGACGGCCUUCGGGUUGUAAACCGCUUUCGCCUGUGACGAAGCGUGAGUGACGGUAAUGGGUAAAGAAGCACCGGCUAACUACGUG